RNAcentral lists this ribosomal RNA (252 nucleotides) under uncultured bacterium. RNAcentral's name for it is "partial 16S ribosomal RNA". It matches the Rfam family "Bacterial small subunit ribosomal RNA", at positions 524 to 776 of the family's 1533-position model. The record is from RNAcentral.
UACAGAGGUCCCGAGCGUUGUUCGGAUUCAUUGGGCGUAAAGGGUGCGUAGGCGGCGGGAAAGUCUGAUGUGAAAUCCUGGGGCUCAACCCUGGAACUGCAUUGGAUACUUCCUUGCUAGAGUACUGGAGAGGAAACUGGAAUUUACGGUGUAGCAGUGAAAUGCGUAGAGAUCGUAAGGAAGACCAGUGGCGAAGGCGAGUUUCUGGACAGUUACUGACGCUGAGGCACGAAGGCCAGGGGAGCAAACGGG